RNAcentral lists this ribosomal RNA (207 nucleotides) under uncultured bacterium. RNAcentral describes it as "partial 16S ribosomal RNA". It matches the Rfam family "Bacterial small subunit ribosomal RNA", at positions 568 to 774 of the family's 1533-position model. The record is from RNAcentral.
CAUCUAGGCGGUCAAUCAAGUCGAAGGUGAGAACUUGUGGCUCAACCAUAAGCUUGCCUACGAAACUGAUUAACUAGAGUACUGGAGAGGUGGACGGAACUACACGAGUAGAGGUGAAAUUCGUAGAUAUGUGUAGGAAUGCCGAUGAUGAAGAUAGUUCACUGGACAGAAACUGACGCUGAAGUGCGAAAGCUAGGGGAGCAAACA